AGCGAACGCUGGCGGCAGGCUUAACACAUACAAGUCGAGCGGGCAUCCUUGUGGUGUCAGCGGCAGACGGGUGAGUAACGCGUGGGAACGUGCCCUUCGGUUCGGAAUAACUCAGGGAAACUUGAGCUAAUACCGGAUACGUGCGAGAGCAGAAAGGUUUAUCUGCCGAAGGAUCGGCCCGCGUCUGAUUAGCUAGUUGGUGAGGUUAUGGCUCACCAAGGCGACGAUCAGUAGCUGGUCUGAGAGGAUGAUCAGCCACACUGGGACUGAGACACGGCCCAGACUCCUACGGGAGGCAGCAGUGGGGAAUAUUGGACAAUGGGGGCAACCCUGAUCCAGCCAUGCCGCGUGAGUGAUGACGGCCUUAGGGUUGUAAAGCUCUUUUCUCCGGGACGAUAAUGACGGUACCGGAGGAAUAAGCCCCGGCUAACUUCGUG
This 437-nucleotide ribosomal RNA is filed under the name uncultured bacterium. Its description in RNAcentral is "partial 16S ribosomal RNA". It matches the Rfam family "Bacterial small subunit ribosomal RNA", at positions 29 to 507 of the family's 1533-position model. The record is from RNAcentral.